UGUGGGAUUUCUUCUUUUCUGUUUGUCCUUACAAUAUAUUUAUUUCUAAACUUCUGCCACCUCCAGAAUGAUCAGAGUGUGCUCCGUUGUGUGGAUUUCUGCUUCAUCUGGCCAGAGGAUCAAGGGCAGAUUGUGAAGAACUCCAUUAAUUGCAAUUUUAAUUUCAGCAACAUGUGCAGCAGUAUCCUUGUUGUCUUGACUGAAAGAAUGAUCCUGUGUGUUUUAGCUGGAUCUUCUUUGCUACAAUCCAUAACAGAUGCCAUUGGUGUUUUUGUUCCUAUCGCUACUUGAUGGCUUUCUCCAACCGCACUUCACAUUCCUGAAGC
This 326-nucleotide long non-coding RNA is filed under the name Junco hyemalis (dark-eyed junco). RNAcentral describes it as "lncRNA (ENSJHYG00000005521.1)". Lineage: Eukaryota; Metazoa; Chordata; Aves; Passeriformes; Passerellidae. The record is from RNAcentral.